Molecule: ribosomal RNA, 1343 nt
Filed under: uncultured bacterium
Lineage: Bacteria
Description: 16S ribosomal RNA
Rfam family: Bacterial small subunit ribosomal RNA
Source: RNAcentral
GACGAACGCUGGCGGCGUGCUUAACACAUGCAAGUCGAACGGAAAGGCCCUGCUUUUGUGGGGUGCUCGAGUGGCGAACGGGUGAGUAACACGUGAGUAACCUGCCCUUGACUUUGGGAUAACUUCAGGAAACUGGGGCUAAUACCGGAUAGGAGCUCCUGCUGCAUGGUGGGGGUUGGAAAGUUUCGGCGGUUGGGGAUGGACUCGCGGCUUAUCAGCUUGUUGGUGGGGUAGUGGCUUACCAAGGCUUUGACGGGUAGCCGGCCUGAGAGGGUGACCGGCCACAUUGGGACUGAGAUACGGCCCAGACUCCUACGGGAGGCAGCAGUGGGGAAUAUUGCACAAUGGGCGGAAGCCUGAUGCAGCAACGCCGCGUGCGGGAUGACGGCCUUCGGGUUGUAAACCGCUUUCGCCUGUGACGAAGCGUGAGUGACGGUGAUGGGUAAAGAAGCACCGGCUAACUACGUGCCAGCAGCCGCGGUGAUACGUAGGGUGCGAGCGUUGUCCGGAUUUAUUGGGCGUAAAGGGCUCGUAGGUGGUUGAUCGCGUCGGAAGUGUAAUCUUGGGGCUUAACCCUGAGCGUGCUUUCGAUACGGGUUGACUUGAGGAAGGUAGGGGAGAAUGGAAUUCCUGGUGGAGCGGUGGAAUGCGCAGAUAUCAGGAGGAACACCAGUGGCGAAGGCGGUUCUCUGGGCCUUUCCUGACGCUGAGGAGCGAAAGCGUGGGGAGCGAACAGGCUUAGAUACCCUGGUAGUCCACGCUGUAAACGGUGGGUACUAGGUGUGGGGUCCAUUCCACGGGUUCCGUGCCGUAGCUAACGCUUUAAGUACCCCGCCUGGGGAGUACGGCCGCAAGGCUAAAACUCAAAGGAAUUGACGGGGCCCCGCACAAGCGGCGGAGCAUGCGGAUUAAUUCGAUGCAACGCGUAGAACCUUACCUGGGUUUGACAUGGAUCGGGAGUGCUCAGAGAUGGGUGUGCCUCUUUUGGGGUCGGUUCACAGGUGGUGCAUGGCUGUCGUCAGCUCGUGUCGUGAGAUGUUGGGUUAAGUCCCGCAACGAGCGCAACCCUUGUUCACUGUUGCCAGCACGUUAUGGUGGGGACUCAGUGGAGACCGCCGGGGUCAACUCGGAGGAAGGUGGGGAUGACGUCAAGUCAUCAUGCCCCUUAUGUCCAGGGCUUCACGCAUGCUACAAUGGCUGGUACAGAGAGUGGCGAGCCUGUGAGGGUGAGCGAAUCUCGGAAAGCCGGUCUCAGUUCGGAUUGGGGUCUGCAACUCGACCUCAUGAAGUCGGUGUCGCUAGUAAUCGCAGAUCAGCAACGCUGCGGUGAAUACGUUCCCGGG